UGAGCAAUCUGCCCUUCACAUCGGGAUAACCCCCGGAAACGGGAGCUAAUACCGGAUACGACCACUUCAGGCAUCUGAUGGUGGUGGAAAGUUCUGGCGGUGAAGGAUGAGCUCGCGGCCUAUCAGCUUGUUGGUGGGGUAAUGGCCCACCAAGGCUUCGACGGGUAGCCGGCCUGAGAGGGUGACCGGCCACACUGGGACUGAGACACGGCCCAGACUCCGUACGGGA
Molecule: ribosomal RNA, 229 nt
Filed under: uncultured bacterium
Lineage: Bacteria
Description: partial 16S ribosomal RNA
Rfam family: Bacterial small subunit ribosomal RNA
Source: RNAcentral